RNAcentral lists this long non-coding RNA (747 nucleotides) under Struthio camelus australis. RNAcentral's name for it is "lncRNA (ENSSCUG00000003092.1)". The record is from RNAcentral. Lineage: Eukaryota; Metazoa; Chordata; Aves; Struthioniformes; Struthionidae.
CCUGCGCGCAGGUCGGCGGGCCAGCAGAGGCGAAGGAGCAGCCCCGUUUGGUGGCGCGCCCUGUCGCGGGAAACCUCUGCCCUCCGCGGUGCCGGUGCGAUCUUUUUUUUUUUCUGAGCCCCGAGUUAAAACCACGCGCGACGCGGUUCACGUGGGCGUUGGAAAUCACAGCCCAGCGCCCGCGUGUCUGUUGGAAAGGUAAAUCUUUAUUUCUUUUGUUUCUUCCAGGUUGAUUCCAGCAACGCGCUGUCUGAAAGAUGCUGCAAGGAGCUAAUAGUAACAAGUAGCUCUGUACCUUUCUGGACAGUCUGCUUUCUGGAUCCUUACGAGACCCCCGGUACUUGAUGACAAGGCUGGCUCUCUGUACGUUUAAACUAAAGAGGAAAGAAGUGGGAAAGCUCAGCAGGAGGAAAAGAGAAUGGGGCACUCCUCCAUCCUUUCCAAAUCCCAGACAAAUUUACAGUAUGGCCUUAUGCAAACUGUACCUUCUCCAGAGGCCAGAGAUGUGGAUGAGAAUCCUGUGGGGAUUAGCCCAGGCUGCCCCGUUCUGGUUUUGUGCCCUCCACCAAAAGACAGUAGAUAAAACAGCAGUGACGCUUGCUUCAUCCAUGCUUUGAAUCAGCUGUCAGAGUUGUGUAGGAGCUGAUCUGUUAAAUGUGCUAUCUGCUAAAUGUGCAAACACUUGCCAGAUUAAGCCCCUUCAAGAGGUGCAGAUAGAAUAAACCAGUGUUUGUGGAUCUUUAAUCA